Molecule: ribosomal RNA, 464 nt
Filed under: uncultured Klebsiella sp.
Lineage: Bacteria; Pseudomonadati; Pseudomonadota; Gammaproteobacteria; Enterobacterales; Enterobacteriaceae
Description: bacterial SSU rRNA
Rfam family: Bacterial small subunit ribosomal RNA
Source: RNAcentral
CCUACGGGAGGCUGCAGUGGGGAAUAUUGCACAAUGGGCGCAAGCCUGAUGCAGCCAUGCCGCGUGUGUGAAGAAGGCCUUCGGGUUGUAAAGCACUUUCAGCGGGGAGGAAGGCGGUGAGGUUAAUAACCUCAUCGAUUGACGUUACCCGCAGAAGAAGCACCGGCUAACUCCGUGCCAGCAGCCGCGGUAAUACGGAGGGUGCAAGCGUUAAUCGGAAUUACUGGGCGUAAAGCGCCCGCAGGCGGUCUGUCAAGUCGGAUGUGAAAUCCCCGGGCUCAACCUGGGAACUGCGUUCGAAACUGGCAGGCUAGAGUCUUGUAGAGGGGGGUAGAAUUCCAGGUGUAGCGGUGAAAUGCGUAGAGAUCUGGAGGAAUACCGGUGGCGAAGGCGGCCCCCUGGACAAAGACUGACGCUCAGGUGCGAAAGCGUGGGGAGCAAACAGGAUAGAUACCCGUGUAGUC